GGCUCGUUGGUCUAGGGGUAUGAUUCUCGCUUAGGGUGCGAGAGGUCCAGGGUUCAAAUCCCGCACGAGCCC
This 72-nucleotide transfer RNA is filed under the name Danio rerio (zebrafish). RNAcentral describes it as "tRNA-Pro (AGG) (tRNA-Pro-AGG-90-1)". It matches the Rfam family "tRNA". From Rfam's summary of the family: Transfer RNA (tRNA) molecules are approximately 80 nucleotides in length. Their secondary structure includes four short double-helical elements and three loops (D, anti-codon, and T loops). The record is from Rfam by way of RNAcentral. Lineage: Eukaryota; Metazoa; Chordata; Actinopteri; Cypriniformes; Danionidae.